GGAUGUAGCUCAGUGGUAGAGCACUUGCCUAGUAUGUAUGAGGUUCUGGGUUCAAUUCCCAGCACCA
This 67-nucleotide transfer RNA is filed under the name Marmota monax (woodchuck). RNAcentral's name for it is "tRNA.Thr". It matches the Rfam family "tRNA", at positions 6 to 65 of the family's 71-position model. From Rfam's summary of the family: Transfer RNA (tRNA) molecules are approximately 80 nucleotides in length. The record is from RNAcentral. Lineage: Eukaryota; Metazoa; Chordata; Mammalia; Rodentia; Sciuridae.